CCUACGGGUGGCAGCAGUGGGGAAUAUUGGACAAUGGGGGGAACCCUGAUCCAGCCAUGCCGCGUGUGUGAAGAAGGCCCUCGGGUUGUAAAGCACUUUCAGUGAGGAAGAACGCCUGGUGGUUAAUACCCAUCAGGAAAGACAUCACUCACAGAAGAAGCACCGGCUAACUCCGUGCCAGCAGCCGCGGUAAUACGGAGGGUGCGAGCGUUAAUCGGAAUUACUGGGCGUAAAGCGCGCGUAGGUGGCUUGAUAAGCCGGUUGUGAAAGCCCCGGGCUCAACCUGGGAACGGCAUCCGGAACUGUCAAGCUAGAGUGCAGGAGAGGAAGGUAGAAUUCCCGGUGUAGCGGUGAAAUGCGUAGAGAUCGGGAGGAAUACCAGUGGCGAAGGCGGCCUUCUGGACUGACACUGCCACUGAGGUGCGAAAGCGUGGGUAGCAAACAGGAUUAGCUACCCGUGUAGUA
RNAcentral lists this ribosomal RNA (465 nucleotides) under Vreelandella stevensii. RNAcentral's name for it is "partial 16S ribosomal RNA". It matches the Rfam family "Bacterial small subunit ribosomal RNA", at positions 338 to 795 of the family's 1533-position model. The record is from RNAcentral. Lineage: Bacteria; Pseudomonadati; Pseudomonadota; Gammaproteobacteria; Oceanospirillales; Halomonadaceae.